AUUGAACGCUGGCGGCAUGCCUUACACAUGCAAGUCGAACGGCAGCACGGGUGCUUGCCCCUGGUGGCGAGUGGCGAACGGGUGAGUAAUACAUCGGAACAUGUCCUGUAGUGGGGGAUAGCCCGGCGAAAGCCGGAUUAAUACCGCAUACGAUCUACGGAUGAAAGCGGGGGACCUUCGGGCCUCGCGCUAUAGGGUUGGCCGAUGGCUGAUUAGCUAGUUGGUGGGGUAAAGGCCUACCAAGGCGACGAUCAGUAGCUGGUCUGAGAGGACGACCAGCCACACUGGGACUGAGACACGGCCCAGACUCCUACGGGAGGCAGCAGUGGGGAAUUUUGGACAAUGGGCGAAAGCCUGAUCCGGCAAUGCCGCGUGUGUGAAGAAGGCCUUCGGGUUGUAAAGCACUUUUGUCCGGAAAGAAAUCCUUGGCUCUAAUACAGUCGGGGGAUGACGGUACCGGAAGAAUAAGCACCGGCUAACUACGUG
Molecule: ribosomal RNA, 486 nt
Filed under: uncultured bacterium
Lineage: Bacteria
Description: partial 16S ribosomal RNA
Rfam family: Bacterial small subunit ribosomal RNA
Source: RNAcentral